GCCGGUGGCGGCGUGCUAUACAUGCAGUCGAACGAACUCUGGUAUUGAUUGGUGCUUGCAUCAUGAUUUACAUUUGAGUGAGUGGCGAACUGGUGAGUAACACGUGGGAAACCUGCCCAGAAGCGGGGGAUAACACCUGGAAACAGAUGCUAAUACCGCAUAACAACUUGGACCGCAUGGUCCGAGUUUGAAAGAUGGCUUCGGCUAUCACUUUUGGAUGGUCCCGCGGCGUAUUAGCUAGAUGGUGGGGUAACGGCUCACCAUGGCAAUGAUACGUAGCCGACCUGAGAGGGUAAUCGGCCACAUUGGGACUGAGACACGGCCCAAACUCCUACGGGAGGCAGCAGUAGGGAAUCUUCCACAAUGGACGAAAGUCUGAUGGAGCAACGCCGCGUGAGUGAAGAAGGGUUUCGGCUCGUAAAACUCUGUUGUUAAAGAAGAACAUAUCUGAGAGUAACUGUUCAGGUAUUGACGGUAUUUAACCAGAAAGCCACGGCUAACUACGUGCCAGCAGCCGCGGUAAUACGUAGGUGGCAAGCGUUGUCCGGAUUUAUUGGGCGUAAAGCGAGCGCAGGCGGUUUUUUAAGUCUGAUGUGAAAGCCUUCGGCUCAACCGAAGAAGUGCAUCGGAAACUGGGAAACUUGAGUGCAGAAGAGGACAGUGGAACUCCAUGUGUAGCGGUGAAAUGCGUAGAUAUAUGGAAGAACACCAGUGGCGAAGGCGGCUGUCUGGUCUGUAACUGACGCUGAGGCUCGAAAGUAUGGGUAGCAAACAGGAUUAGAUACCCUGGUAGUCCAUACCGUAAACGAUGAAUGCUAAGUGUUGGAGGGUUUCCGCCCUUCAGUGCUGCAGCUAACGCAUUAAGCAUUCCGCCUGGGGAGUACGGCCGCAAGGCUGAAACUCAAAGGAAUUGACGGGGGCCCGCACAAGCGGUGGAGCAUGUGGUUUAAUUCGAAGCUACGCGAAGAACCCUUACCAGGUCUUGACAUACUAUGCAAAUCUAAGAGAUUAGACGUUUCCCUUUCGGGGACAUGGAUACAGGUGGUGCAUGAUGUCGUCAGCUCGUGUCGUGAGAUGUGGAUAGUCCGCACGAGCGCAACCGUAUAAUCAGUGCCAGCAUAGUUGGUCACUCUGUGAGACUGACGUGACUACCGGAGCAUGGUGGGAUGAACGGUUCAAAUCAAUUCCAUGGCGCCCGUA
Molecule: ribosomal RNA, 1200 nt
Filed under: Lactiplantibacillus plantarum
Lineage: Bacteria; Bacillati; Bacillota; Bacilli; Lactobacillales; Lactobacillaceae
Description: bacterial SSU rRNA
Rfam family: Bacterial small subunit ribosomal RNA
Source: RNAcentral